RNAcentral lists this ribosomal RNA (356 nucleotides) under uncultured Anoxybacillus sp. RNAcentral's name for it is "bacterial SSU rRNA". It matches the Rfam family "Bacterial small subunit ribosomal RNA", at positions 1025 to 1382 of the family's 1533-position model. The record is from RNAcentral. Lineage: Bacteria; Bacillati; Bacillota; Bacilli; Caryophanales; Anoxybacillaceae.
ACGAGGGUGACAGGUGGUGCAUGGUUGUCGUCAGCUCGUGUCGUGAGAUGUUGGUUAAGUCCCGCAACGAGCGCAACCCUCGACCUUAGUUGCCAGCAUUCAGUUGGGCACUCUAAGGUGACUGCCGGACUAAAGUCGGAGGAAGGUGGGGAUGACGUCAAAUCAUCAUCGCCCCUUAUGACCUGGGCUACACACGUGCUACAAUGGGCGGUACAAAGGGUCGCGAACCCGCGAGGGGGAGCCAAUCCCAAAAAGCCGCUCUCAGUUCGGAUUGCAGGCUGCAACUCGCCUGCAUGAAGCCGGAAUCGCUAGUAAUCGCGGAUCAGCAUGCCGCGGUGAAUACGUUCCCGGGCCUU